UGAUCCUGGCUCAAGAUGAACGCUGGCGGCGUGCUUAUACAUGCAAGUCGAACGAAGCACUUUUGACAGAUCCCCUCGGGGUGAAUAUGAUUGUGACUUAUUGGCGGACGGGUGACUAACGCGUGGGGAACCUGCCUUAUGCUGGGGGAUAACAGUUACAAAUGACUGCUAAUACCGCAUAAACGCACGAGGCCGCAUGGACAUGUGUGAAAAGAUUUAUCGCCAUGAGAUGGACCCGCGUCUGAUUAGGUAGUUGGCGGGGUAACGGCCCACCAACCCCGCGAUCAGUAGCCGACUUGAGAGAGUGAUCGGCCACAUUGGGACUGAUACACGGCCCAUACUCCUACAGGAGGCAGCAUUACGGAAUAUUGCACAAUGGGGGAAACCCUGAUGCAUCUACGCCUCGUGAGUGAACAACUAUUUCGGUACGUAAAGCUCUAUCAGCAGGGAAGAUAAUGACGGUACCUGACUAAGAACCCCCUGCUAACUACGUGCCAACUUCCGCGGUAAUACGUAGGGGGCAAGCGUUAUCCGGAUUUACUGGGUGUAAAGGGAGUGUAUGUGGUCUGGCAAGUCAUAUGUGAAAGCCCGCGGCUCAACUGCUGGACUGCAUUUGAAACUGUCAGACUGGACUGCAUGACAGGAAAGUGGAAUUCCUAGUGUAUCGGUGAAAUGCGUAGAUAUUAGGAAGAACACCAGUGGCGAACGCGGCUUUCUGGACUGUAACUGACACUGAGGCUCGAAAGCGUGGGGAGCAAACAGGAUUAGAUACCCCUGGUAGUCCACGCCGUAAACGAUGAAUACUAGGUGUCGGGUGGCAAAGCCAUUCGGUGCCGCAGCUAACGCAAUAAGUAUUCCACUUGGGGAGUACGUUCGCAAGAAUGAAACUCAAAGGAAUUGACGGGGACCCGCACAAGCGGUGGAGCAUGUGGUUUAAUUCGAAGCAACGCGAAGAACCUUACCUGAUCUUGACAUCCUCCUGACCAUGUGAUGUAAUGUCGGACUUCCUUCGGGACAGGAGAGACAGGUGGUGCAUGGUUGUCGUCAGCUCGUGUCGUGAGAUGUUGGGUUAAGUCCCGCAACGAGCGCAACCCUUGUCGUUAGUUGCCAGCGGUCCGGCCGGGCACUCUAGGGAGACUGCCAGGGAUAACCUGGAGGAAGGUGGGGAUGACGUCAAAUCAUCAUGCCCCUUAUGACCAGGGCUACACACGUGCUACAAUGGCGUAAACAAAGAGAAGCGAACCUGUGAGGGGGAGCCAACCUCAAAAAUAACGUCUCAGUUCGGAGUGCAGUCUGCAACUCGAUUGCACGAGGCUGGAAUCGCUAGUAAUCGCGAAUCAGAAUGUCGCGGUGAAUACGUUCCCGGGUCUUGUACACACCGCCCGUCACACCAUGGGAGUCGGAAAUGCCCGAAAGCCUGUGACCCAACUUUUCUAAGAGGGAGCAGUCGAAGGUGG
RNAcentral lists this ribosomal RNA (1457 nucleotides) under uncultured rumen bacterium. RNAcentral describes it as "16S ribosomal RNA". It matches the Rfam family "Bacterial small subunit ribosomal RNA". The record is from RNAcentral.